Non-coding RNA from Pogona vitticeps (central bearded dragon), 3228 nucleotides. The record is from RefSeq and is a predicted model, not a curated record. Lineage: Eukaryota; Metazoa; Chordata; Lepidosauria; Squamata; Agamidae.
GAGAAGCCCCGCCCCUCUAUUAUUUUUGCAAAGGCGUGUGAGGUCGCGCGUUCCUCUUCCCCCCCCUCGGGUUUUGUGGUCUGAGCCCUUCCGCUUGCCGUAGUCAAGUGGGGUCUGGGUGUUGCCGGCGUGCCCGCUCGAGAGCGAGACCUUUGAAAAGUCCAUGGUUGCCGGGCGCCGCGAUGGCUCCGGACCCCUGGUUGUCGAUGUAUGAUUCUACUUGCCGUACUGCCCAGGAGGUUGCUGAAAAGAUUCAAGAACGCAACAGAUAUCAGAGGAACGGUGAAAGUACAACUAAGCUCACUGUUGCCAUCCGGUCACUAUUACAGAAUCUCAAAGAAAAGACUGAUCGUCUCAAGGACCUGUUGUUUCACUCUGUGUCUACACGCCAGAUAACCCAACUUGAAGGAGACAGAAGGCAGAACUUGGUGGAUGAGCUUCUCACACGUCAUAGACAACUUCAGGCAUCUUUCAAAAAUGAAGGCACAGAACCAGAUGUAAUAAGGUCUAGCCUAAUGGCAGGAGGGGUCAGACAAGGUGUAACAAACCCAUGGCUUGUAGAAGAGCCUGAGGAAACAAGAGGACUCGGCUUUCAUGAGAUCCAGCAACAGCAAAAGAGGAUUAUAGAAGAGCAAGAUUCUGGCCUCGAUGCCCUCUCUUCAAUCUUAUCCCGGCAGAAGCAGAUGGGACAGGAAAUUGGGAAUGAGUUAGAGGAACAGAAUGAAAUCAUUGAUGAUUUAGCCAAUUUGGUUGAAAACACUGACGACAAACUGCGGAACCAAACCAGGCGUGUGAUGAUGGUGGAGAAAAAGUCAACGUCUUGUGGGAUGAUAGUGGUGAUCGUAUUGCUGCUGAUUGCAAUUGUCGUUGUUGCUGUGUGGCCUACGAAAUAACAGAACAGAAUACCAUUCUGCUGCAAAGUGUCAACUGCAAGCUAAAAGCAAGGACAGCUCUUUCUCACUGUCGGCACAUUCCACAGACUGAGUUGCAUUCAUCCCACUCUGAGUGCACUGGUAGAUCCACAGCAGGGGACAGAUUUUAUUUUCCAAAAUCGCUAUCCAGGAAGACUUCAUGUUUUGAAGAAGGUUACAUAGAAUGGAAUGUAUCACCUCAUGACCAUCCAGACAUAAAUGCAGUUGAUUCCAGAGAAGUGCUAUCUGACUAGCUGACCCUGCUUUCAAGAGUGCAAGAGCUUGGGAUACUUCUUCAGAGGACCUAAACCUUUUACAUUACAUACGUAGACUUGACAGCCUGCUACUGCGUGAUACUUCUGGAAAAGUUCAAGGCACCAAUUUGUGUUGCUUCAGAUUCUUUCUUGUAUUUGGUGGUGGCAUUGCUUGUAUUGGGACCCAGUACCAUUUCCAUGGAUUUCUAUUGUGCACUGCACUAAAUUUCUUUAUGGAAACUACCAUUUGCUUCAUAGAUCAUCUUUGCCAGUACUGUACUGUGAUCUGACUAUCCUGCCCCAUUCUUAACCUCUUAAGCAUCUUGCCUAGUUCUAGCUUCAUAAAGACUUACUGAUCUCCUUCCAUGUGCAAGAUGGUGUAAUUAUUGUAGGCUUCCAAAUAAAAAUGCCAGCCCUAAAUUGAUUCUGGCCAUCUAGUACCUCCAAAGCACAUUUGAUCAUGCUGCAAGAUCUAUAGCUCUACCAAUAAAUAGUCCAAAAUAUGUAAAUGUUGUGUUGGGGUAUUUUUGUUAUACAGGAGGAAACGUUUGGGGAAAUAGUCCUCCAAACAUGUAACUUUAAGCUUUUCUGCUUAGCUGAUUUGAAUCAAAAGCCGCCCAUGCAAUACAUAAUUGUUAAAAUGUAGGAGUGCAAAAUAUGUCCUUAAAUCUGUCAAGAUAGAUGCUGUUUUGUGAAGAAAAAAGGUUUCUCACUUAUAUGGAAUGUAUGAGGACUGUUUUUUAAAAAAAUCUAAUCUAAUAUUGUAGCUUGAAUAAAUGUACAAUUUUCAAGUUCUAGACUAUUUUAUAUAUUGUAGUGCCCUGUCAUCAGUCUUCUUAGUUUCCUUUGUAUUUUGUCUUGCAUUUGCUGUCAGGCAUUGUCAUCACUUUUGAGUUUUCCAGAUCCCCAGUAUCCAUUAUGCAAGGUGAGGCCAUUUCACAUCUUUCUUCAAGGGGAUUGCACGCUAUGAGAGUAUCUGUUCUGUAAACAUUGGCUUUCAGGAUUAAAUAGUGGUUUUGACUACUUAUUUCAAACAUAGAGUUCCCUUGGAAUGCUCGCACAGGACUCCGCUGCUGUGUAUAUUCAGGAUGCUGCAGUUGAGUGGGGAAAGGUACUGCCAAAGCAAGCAUCUUUCCACCAGGAACUGCAGUGAGAAUACUUUUUUAUGUUAUAUAUUGUAUUAGAAAUCUAGAGCAAAGAUGUUUGUGUUGAGAAUAGUGCACUAAUAUGGCUGAGCAUAAUUUCCAUGUUUUUUUCCCCUAUUUGUGUUGAGAUUUCCUCCAACAAAAGAAAACGUUUUGUUAGAUUCUUUGUUAGACUCUUAAGUACAUAACAUGAAAAUGGAACUCAAAUCUUUUGGACUUUGGGAAUAAAGAUUCCCAAGAAUUCUGUGUCUGUCAAACUGACAGAACUGUAGGCAAAGUAUUUUAUAUACCCUUUGUUUAAGCCAUGUUCCCCCAGGCCACAUAGUACAAAACAGCACCCAACACAAUUGUUUAUGACUAGCCAAUCUUUGCUGUGAUUUGAUAGAAAGUAACAGUGGCUGGCCUACAUUUUUGGGGUCCUGAGGCUUGAACUUGCAACCAGCAGUGAAGGCUGGGUAACCACUGUUUAUCUUCUUCAGUGGGGGUUAUUCCAUGACAGUUUUUUAAAAAAACUGGAAUCCUCCAGGAUUAGGAGCCCUGAACCUUGUGCACCUUGUUAGUUUCACAGCAGAUCCGCCCCUGGAAAGUACAGUAGUAUCCUGUAUACACAUAAUCAGAUACAAACCCUGGAUAAUUUUGACUUUUUUUGCAGAUGACCUUUGCAAAGUCUUGACAAGUCAUGAUGAGAAUUGCUUCAUCAGCACCAUGCUAAAAUAUGAACUGUAAGGAAGCAAAAAUACCGUAGGUGCUUCUUGGUAAAAUGUUGAUGAGAUAUGAGUCUUCUGUUACAUUUUCCUCACUUAACUGCUUUUGGACAAUUCACUUUUAUGAUAAUUCAUAGAAAGUGAAACUGUUAUCUGCUGCCAAAGUAGCUGGCUUCCUGUCUUUGGGGCAAACCAAAAUGUUUCCAUCACUUUC